Molecule: unclassified non-coding RNA, 154 nt
Filed under: soil metagenome
Description: partial internal transcribed spacer 1
Source: RNAcentral
CAGAGUUAUCCAACUCCCAAACCCAUGUGAACUUAUCUCUUUGUUGUCUCGGCGCAGGCUACCCGGGACCUCGCGCCCCGGGCGGCCCGCCGGCGGACAAACCAAAACUCUUGUUAUCUUAGUUGAUUAUCUGAGUGUCUUAUUUAAUAAGUCA